UUUUUUUGUUUUAUAUUUUGUUACAUACUUUAACAGUGUUUAUAGUAAAGCCGCGUCUGGUUUCACUCUCUUGCGAGAGUGUCCCCUUCAGCGAUAAUGGUGCACAGAGUUAGAAGUGGAGGUUCGCCCAGUCUUGCGACUCGGGCUAUAAUUCACUAAUGAUCCUUCCGCAGGUUCACCUACGGAAA
RNAcentral lists this unclassified non-coding RNA (188 nucleotides) under uncultured fungus. RNAcentral describes it as "sequence contains ITS1". The record is from RNAcentral. Lineage: Eukaryota; Fungi.